ACGAACGCUGGCGGCGUGCCUAAUACAUGCAAGUAGAACGCUGAAGAGAGGAGCUUGCUCUUCUUGGAUGAGUUGCGAACGGGUGAGUAACGCGUAGGUAACCUGCCUGGUAGCGGGGGAUAACUAUUGGAAACGAUAGCUAAUACCGCAUAAAAUUGAUUAUUGCAUGAUAUUUAAUUAAAAGAUGCACCUGCAUCACUACCAGAUGGACCUGCGUUGUAUUAGCUAGUUGGUGAGGUAACGGCUCACCAAGGCGACGAUACAUAGCCGACCUGAGAGGGUGAUCGGCCACACUGGGACUGAGACACGGCCCAGACUCCUACGGGAGGCAGCAGUAGGGAAUCUUCGGCAAUGGGGGGAACCCUGACCGAGCAACGCCGCGUGAGUGAAGAAGGGUUUCGGAUCGUAAAGCUCUGUUGUAAGAGAAGAACGGGUGUGAGAGUGGAAAGUUCACACUGUGACGGUAUCUUACCAGAAAGGGACGGCUAACUACGUG
RNAcentral lists this ribosomal RNA (496 nucleotides) under uncultured bacterium. Its description in RNAcentral is "partial 16S ribosomal RNA". It matches the Rfam family "Bacterial small subunit ribosomal RNA", at positions 29 to 507 of the family's 1533-position model. The record is from RNAcentral.